Molecule: ribosomal RNA, 1355 nt
Filed under: uncultured bacterium
Lineage: Bacteria
Description: bacterial SSU rRNA
Rfam family: Bacterial small subunit ribosomal RNA
Source: RNAcentral
AUUGAACGCUGGCGGCAGGCUUAACACAUGCAAGUCGAACGAUGAUUAUCUAGCUUGCUAGAUAUGAUUAGUGGCGGACGGGUGAGUAACAUUUAGGAAUCUGCCUAGUAGUGGGGGAUAGCUCGGGGAAACUCGAAUUAAUACCGCAUACGACCUACGGGUGAAAGGGGGCGCAAGCUCUUGCUAUUAGAUGAGCCUAAAUCAGAUUAGCUAGUUGGUGGGGUAAAGGCCCACCAAGGCGACGAUCUGUAACUGGUCUGAGAGGAUGAUCAGUCACACCGGAACUGAGACACGGUCCGGACUCCUACGGGAGGCAGCAGUGGGGAAUAUUGGACAAUGGGGGCAACCCUGAUCCAGCCAUGCCGCGUGUGUGAAGAAGGCCUUUUGGUUGUAAAGCACUUUGAGCAGGGAGGAGAGGCUAAUGGUUAAUGCCCAUUAGAUUAGACGUUACCUGCAGAAUAAGCACCGGCUAACUCUGUGCCAGCAGCCGCGGUAAUACAGAGGGUGCGAGCGUUAAUCGGAAUUACUGGGCGUAAAGCGAGUGUAGGUGGCUCAUUAAGUCGCAUGUGAAAUCCCCGGGCUUAACCUGGGAACUGCAUGUGAUACUGGUGGUGCUAGAAUAUGUGAGAGGGAAGUAGAAUUCCAGGUGUAGCGGUGAAAUGCGUAGAGAUCUGGAGGAAUACCGAUGGCGAAGGCAGCUUCCUGGCAUAAUAUUGACACUGAGAUUCGAAAGCGUGGGUAGCAAACAGGAUUAGAUACCCUGGUAGUCCACGCCGUAAACGAUGUCUACUAGCCGUUGGGGUCCUUGAGACUUUAGUGGCGCAGUUAACGCGAUAAGUAGACCGCCUGGGGAGUACGGCCGCAAGGUUAAAACUCAAAUGAAUUGACGGGGGCCCGCACAAGCGGUGGAGCAUGUGGUUUAAUUCGAUGCAACGCGAAGAACCUUACCUGGUCUUGACAUAGUGAGAAUCCUGCAGAGAUGCGGGAGUGCCUUCGGGAAUUCACAUACAGGUGCUGCAUGGCUGUCGUCAGCUCGUGUCGUGAGAUGUUGGGUUAAGUCCCGCAACGAGCGCAACCCUUUUCCUUAUUUGCCAGCGGGUUAAGCCGGGAACUUUAAGGAUACUGCCAGUGACAAACUGGAGGAAGGCGGGGACGACGUCAAGUCAUCAUGGCCCUUACGACCAGGGCUACACACGUGCUACAAUGGUAGGUACAGAGGGUUGCUACACAGCGAUGUGAUGCUAAUCUCAAAAAGCCUAUCGUAGUCCGGAUUGGAGUCUGCAACUCGACUCCAUGAAGUCGGAAUCGCUAGUAAUCGCAGAUCAGGAUGCUGCGGUGAAUACGUUCCCGGGCCU